This 492-nucleotide ribosomal RNA is filed under the name uncultured bacterium. Its description in RNAcentral is "partial 16S ribosomal RNA". It matches the Rfam family "Bacterial small subunit ribosomal RNA", at positions 29 to 507 of the family's 1533-position model. The record is from RNAcentral.
AGUGAACGCUGGCGGUAGGCCUAACACAUGCAAGUCGAACGGCAGCACAGUAAGAGCUUGCUCUUACGGGUGGCGAGUGGCGGACGGGUGAGGAAUACAUCGGAAUCUACUUUUUCGUGGGGGAUAACGAAGGGAAAUUAACGCAAAAACCGCAUACGACCUACGGGUGAAAGAAGGGGAUCUUCGGUCCUUGCGCGAUUGAUUGAGCCGAUGUCGGAUUAGCUAGUUGGCGGGGUAAAGGCCCACCAAGGCGACGAUCCGUAGCUGGUCUGAGAGGAUGAUCAGCCACACUGGAACUGAGACACGGUCCAGACUCCUACGGGAGGCAGCAGUGGGGAAUAUUGGACAAUGGGCGCAAGCCUGAUCCAGCCAUACCGCGUGGGUGAAGAAGGCCUUCGGGUUGUAAAGCCCUUUUGUUGGGAAAGAAAAGCAGCAGGUUAAUACCCCGCUGUUCUGACGGUACCCAAAGAAUAAGCACCGGCUAACUUCGUG